UGGGGAAUAUUGCACAAUGGGGGAAACCCUGAUGCAGCGACGCCGCGUGAAGGAAGAAGUAUUUCGGUAUGUAAACUUCUAUCAGCAAGGAAGAUAAUGACGGUACUUGACUAAGAAGCCCCGGCUAACUACGUGCCAGCAGCCGCGGUAAUACGUAGGGGGCAAGCGUUAUCCGGAUUUACUGGGCGUAAAGGGAGCGUAGGUGGCAUGGCAAGUCAGAUGUGAAAGCCCGGGGCUCAACCCCGGGACUGCAUUUGAAACUGCCAGGCUGGAGUGCAGAAGAGGUAAGGGAAAUUCCUGGCGUAGCGGGGAAAUGCGUAGAUAUUAGUGGGAGCGCCAGUGGCGAAGGCGGCUUACUGGACUAUAACUGACACUGAGGCUCGAAAGCGUGGG
Molecule: ribosomal RNA, 393 nt
Filed under: uncultured bacterium
Lineage: Bacteria
Description: bacterial SSU rRNA
Rfam family: Bacterial small subunit ribosomal RNA
Source: RNAcentral